CCUACGGGUGGCAGCAGUGAGGAAUAUUGGUCAAUGGGCGCGCGCCUGAACCAGCCAAGUCGCGUGAAGGAUGACUGCCCUACGGGUUGUAAACUUCUUUUAUAAAGGAAUAAAGUGAGGCACGUGUGCCUUUUUGUAUGUACUUUAUGAAUAAGGAUCGGCUAACUCCGUGCCAGAGGCCGCGGGAAUACGGAGGAUCCGAGCGUUAUCCGGAUUUUUUGGGUUUAAAGGGAGCGUAGGGGGGUUGUUAAGUCAGUUGUGAAAGUUUGCGGCUCAACCGUAAAAUUGCAAUUGAUACUGGCAGUCUUGAGUACAGAUGAGGUAGGCGGAAUGCGUGGUGUAGCGGUGAAAUGCUUAGAUAUCACGAAGAACACCGAUUGCGAAGGCAGCUUACUAAACUGCCACUGACAUUGAUGCUCGAAAGUGUGGGGAGCAAACAGGAUUAGAUACCCGUGUAGUC
This 460-nucleotide ribosomal RNA is filed under the name uncultured bacterium. Its description in RNAcentral is "partial 16S ribosomal RNA". It matches the Rfam family "Bacterial small subunit ribosomal RNA", at positions 338 to 795 of the family's 1533-position model. The record is from RNAcentral.